RNAcentral lists this long non-coding RNA (1266 nucleotides) under Androctonus crassicauda. Lineage: Eukaryota; Metazoa; Arthropoda; Arachnida; Scorpiones; Buthidae. The record is from RNAcentral.
GUAAGUUCAUCAAAGUGACAAUUUGCAUCUCUCUCUCAGUGUCCUUUGUUUAUUUCUGUCAUUGAAUAUUAUUGGAAUACCAAAAACAUCUAUUAUAUGCUUAAUUCAUCAGGAAGAAGAACUAAGAGAAAAAUGGAUGUGCAUUGAAAAGCAGGGGCCAUCACUGAAAUGGAAUAUUUUGUACAGGUGAAGAUCCUGAGGUUGAAAAUGCACUUAAUCAAUGGUUUUCUCUCAUAACUGAAUGAAGCAGGGCCAGUGCAAGCAGGUUCAGCACAUUCGCUGGAACCAGGCUCCGCGGUCUACGAAAAUUACCCAAUUAAAAAACACCGAUUUUAAUUAACUUUUUACAGAAUGAUGAUACCAUUAACCAUUACCAUUAAAAAAAGAUAUCAUUACCAUUAAAAAAAGAAGGCAAAAGAGUUAGCCAUGGUGCUGGAUCAUGAUGGGUUUAAAGCUGCAAAUGGCUAGUUAUCCCAAUGGAAAUGUAUGCAUGGAUUAAAUUUAAGAAAUUACACAGCAAGAAAGAAAGUGCUGAUGUUGAGAGUGCAGAGUACUGGAAAAACAAGAGACUACUGGCAUUCAGGAAUUUCAACAUUCAGGAAAUUUUUCAUUCAUUCAGGAAUUUUCAACAGACAUUUACAGUGUGAAUGAAACAGGUUUGUUUUAUUGUGCAUCACCCAAUAGUUUUUUAUGCUAUGUUUAUAAAAACUUUCUCACGUUCAGUUUCUACAGUUUUUGGUAUACUGUAUAAAAAUGCUUCAUGAUCAGAUAACAUCAAUAAAGAAAAUAAUAAAAACUUCUUUUUAAAUUGUUUUGAAUUCUUUAGUGUAACAAUAAAACUAUUCAAUACAUGCUCUGUAGUAUAUAAAUACUGUAAUAUGUGAAAUCUGAUAUAUGUUAGGUUUAUAUGUUUAAUUUCGGAUUAUUUGAUCAAUCACUUUAUUCAACCAAAAAUGCCUUGCCCUAAUUUGGUCAGAUUGACAAGAGUCAACUGUGUAUAAAAUCUAGUAAUUUCUCAGCAGAUUUAGAAAUUUUCAGUACAAGCCUGGGAUAAAUUAGUAACAAUAAUACAAAUCAAGAACCUCUAUGUUUGGAUUAUUAAUAAUUUGAAAAUUGAUAGAACAUAGACAAUCAUAUAAAGUAAGAUCACCAUAUUUCUGAAUAUUCAAAAUACUCUAGUUAUAAUUCACUAGAUUAUGACAACAUAAUUUAAUCACAACUUUUUUUGAUGCAUAAUUUAAUAAUUACAAUUUUUUUUGUUACCUU